CCCCCAGCCACACCUCACCCACGCUAAGACCAGUGCAGAGGAUGAUAUGAAGCGACUGAGUCCAGACAGCCCCUCAAACACAGACGGCACAAGGCCAAGGACAAGUCCUCCUCAGGCCAGCCCCCUACCCGUCGAUCACUCCACCGGACCCUGUCUGAUGAGAGUAUCUACCGGGGCCAGCGUGUCCCCUCUCUGAGGCUUGGGGACCUAGAACCAGACCCCAGCCUGGCUAGUGAUGUGCUGUUCAGCUGCUCCACGUUGCCACGUUCUCCCACCACCCGCGGGGUGCCUCUCAGACGGCCUUCGUACAAACUGGGGAUCAAACUCCACGGUGACCUGUCUGCAUCUGACACGUCAUUGGCUGAGAUGGUUGAGCGUCAGCGCCACCCCUCCCCC
This is a long non-coding RNA of Oncorhynchus keta (chum salmon), 396 nucleotides long. RefSeq lists it as uncharacterized. The transcript is spliced from 3 exons. The record is from RefSeq and is a predicted model, not a curated record. Lineage: Eukaryota; Metazoa; Chordata; Actinopteri; Salmoniformes; Salmonidae.